RNAcentral lists this ribosomal RNA (250 nucleotides) under uncultured bacterium. RNAcentral describes it as "partial 16S ribosomal RNA". It matches the Rfam family "Archaeal small subunit ribosomal RNA", at positions 474 to 723 of the family's 1478-position model. The record is from RNAcentral.
UACCGGCGGCUCGAGUGGUGGCCGCUUUUACUGGGCUUAAAGGGUCCGUAGCUUGAUUCACAAGUCCCUUGAGAAAUCCAUCGGCUUAACUGAUGGGCGUUCAGGGGAUACUGUGGUUCUAGGGACCGGGAGAGGUGAGAGGUACUGCCGGGGUAGGAGUGAAAUCCUGUAAUCCCGGUGGGACGACCUAUGGCGAAGGCAUCUCACCAGAACGGCUCCGACAGUGAGGGACGAAAGCUGGGGGAGCAAA